Molecule: ribosomal RNA, 468 nt
Filed under: uncultured bacterium
Lineage: Bacteria
Description: partial 16S ribosomal RNA
Rfam family: Bacterial small subunit ribosomal RNA
Source: RNAcentral
GACGAACGCUGGCGGCGUGCUUAACACAUGCAAGUCGAACGGAAAGGCCCUGCUUUUGUGGGGUGCUCGAGUGGCGAACGGGUGAGUAACACGUGAGUAACCUGCCCUUGACUGUGGGAUAACUUCAGGCAACUGGGGCUAAUACCGGAUAGGAGCUCCUGCUGCAUGGUGGGGGUUGGAAAGUUUGUGCGGUUGUGGAUGGACUCGCGGGUUAUCAGCUUGUUGGUGGGGUAGUGGCUUACCAAGGCUUUGACGGGUAGCCGGCCUGAGAGGGUGACCGGCCACCUUAGUACUGCGAUACGGCCCAGACGCCUACGGGAGGCAGCAGUGGGGAAUAUUGCACAAUGAUCGGAAGCCUGUUACAGCAACCUCGCGUGCGGGAUGACGGUCUUCUGGUGAUAAACCGCUUUAGCCUGUGACGAAGCUUGAUUGACGGUAAUAAGUAAAGAAGCACCGGCUAACUACGUG